GCUGGGCAUGGUGGCUCAUGCCUGUAAUCCCAGCACUUUGGGAGGCCGAGGUGGGAGGUUCACUUGAGCUCAGGAAUUUGUGACUAGCCUGAGCAACAUGGUGAAACCCCAUCUCUA
This is an unclassified non-coding RNA of Pongo abelii (Sumatran orangutan), 117 nucleotides long. It matches the Rfam family "Metazoan signal recognition particle RNA". Rfam says of the family: The signal recognition particle (SRP) is a universally conserved ribonucleoprotein. It is involved in the co-translational targeting of proteins to membranes. The record is from Ensembl. Lineage: Eukaryota; Metazoa; Chordata; Mammalia; Primates; Hominidae.